GUUUCCGGUUGAUCCUGCCGGACCUGACUGCUAUCGGAUUGAUACUAAGCCAUGCGAGUCAUUGUAGCAAUACAAGGCAGACGGCUCAGUAACGCGUAGUCAACCGACCCUAUGGACGGGAAUAACCUCGGGAAACUGAGUAUAAUGCCCGAUAGAACACUAUACCUGGAAUGGUUUGUGUUUCAAAUGAUUUAUUGCCGUAGGAUGGGACUGCGGCCUAUCAGUUUGUUGGUGAGGUAAUGGCCCACCAAGACUAUUACAGGUACGGGCUCUGAGAGGAGUGGCCCGGAGAUGGGUACUGAGACACGGACCCAGGCCCUAUGGGGCGCAGCAGGCGAGAAAACUUUGCAAUGUGCGAAAGCACGACAAGGUUAAUCCGAGUGGUUUCUGCUAAAGGAACCUUUUGACAGUCCUAGAAACACUGUUGAAUAAGGGGUGGGCAAGUUCUGGUGUCAGCCGCCGCGAUAAAACCAGCACCUCAAGUGGUCAGGAUGAUUAUUGGGCCUAAAGCAUCCGUAGCCGGCUCAGUAAGUUUUCGGUUAAAUCUGUACGCUCAACGUACAGGCUGCCGGGAAUACUGCAGAGCUAGG
RNAcentral lists this ribosomal RNA (590 nucleotides) under uncultured archaeon. RNAcentral's name for it is "bacterial SSU rRNA". It matches the Rfam family "Archaeal small subunit ribosomal RNA", at positions 1 to 596 of the family's 1478-position model. The record is from RNAcentral.